UACGGAGGGUGCAAGCGUUGUCCGGAUUUAUUGGGUUUAAAGGGUGCGUAGGCGGCUCAUUAAGUCAGUGGUGAAAUCCUUCAGCUUAACUGGAGAACUGCCAUUGAUACUGACGAGCUUGAGUAUAGUUGAGGUAGGCGGAAUUGACAGUGUAGCGGUGAAAUGCUUAGAUAUUGUCAAGAACACCGAUUGCGAAGGCAGCUUACUAAACUAUAACUGACGCUGAGGCACGAAAGCGUGGGGAUCAAACAGG
This 253-nucleotide ribosomal RNA is filed under the name uncultured bacterium. RNAcentral describes it as "partial 16S ribosomal RNA". It matches the Rfam family "Bacterial small subunit ribosomal RNA", at positions 524 to 776 of the family's 1533-position model. The record is from RNAcentral.